This 30-nucleotide transfer RNA is filed under the name Moraea algoensis. Its description in RNAcentral is "partial tRNA-Phe". Lineage: Eukaryota; Viridiplantae; Streptophyta; Magnoliopsida; Asparagales; Iridaceae. The record is from RNAcentral.
UAAAAGGUCGGGAUAGCUCAGUUGGUAGAG